GAAAGUAAAAAAUAACCUAGUUUGAUUUUAAUUUUUUAGACCUUUUUUAGGUAUUAUGAAUUGAUGGAUUGGUUUGUAAGUGUUCUAAAGAUGUUAGAAAUGUGUUCUUGGGUUGAAAUGACUUAGAAAUUAGGUUUUU
Molecule: long non-coding RNA, 139 nt
Organism: Populus euphratica (Euphrates poplar)
Lineage: Eukaryota; Viridiplantae; Streptophyta; Magnoliopsida; Malpighiales; Salicaceae
Exons: 2
Source: RefSeq, a predicted model, not a curated record